Long non-coding RNA from Camelus dromedarius (Arabian camel), 3214 nucleotides. RefSeq lists it as uncharacterized. The transcript has 7 exons. NCBI's taxonomy places the organism in Eukaryota, Metazoa, Chordata, Mammalia, Artiodactyla, Camelidae. The record is from RefSeq and is a predicted model, not a curated record.
AGGAAGCUGGGCGGGAGCUGGGUGCCCCUGGAGCAGCUCCCGGAGGAGGAAGGCUGCUCGGGGUCUCGGCCUCCCGCCGCUUGCUGUCACCUCUGCUGCCGUCGCGAGACAGAUCACCACCCGAAAGGCCGGGAGGAAGUGGACAUUCAUCUCACCCUCUCAAACAGGAUCCUUGUGCAAGCCUUUGAGAGGAACCACUUUCACUUUUCUUUCCACAGGGAAGAAUUGGUUCAUCAAACAGGACUUCCUGUACUUCAAAUCAAGUUCUCAGUGGGUGGAAGAUGAUUUGUCCCAAGGUAUAGUUCUUAACUAGAAAGCUCGUCACCCAGAGCAGAGCAGAGGUGGGCCUGGGAAGGCCGCAGCAGAAGGCCCUGAUGCCAGACCAGCCCUCACUGUGCCGUCGGACCAAAACCCCCUGCCCACUGUCCACGACAGCGCUCAUCACUGUCCUCCAUCUGAUCCACUGGAGAGCAUCCCGUCCUUCUACAGCAGCCCCUCCUUCGUCAUCCAGCUUCUUUGUGCCUUGUGCUCCCUCUAGUGGCUGAUGGGCUGGCCAUUGAUGCUCCUGGUGGUCCAAGCCCACCCCCGCUGUGCAGAGUUGAGAACCCUCCACCUCCAGGAAUAGUCCCCUAUGGCUCCUCAGCAGGACUGAGUCCAGGAGGGGGUCUUGCACCCAUUCAUGCAGCACUCACACCCUCCACCCAAGGAGGAGCUUGCCUGCACACUCCAGCUCCAAGGCGCCCCUCAGCCUGACCUCUGACCGCGGCAAUCCUCCACAAACCGUGCAGCAUCUGGCUCAGCCAUGCGCCACCCACAGGGUGAUUCUGCAGCCUGGAUAGACUGAGACACACGCCUGGCAGCAACAGAACCCCUGAGUGAAGACACAUCUCCGUUGGACCCUCAGCACCAGCCCUCAGGCCCAGAGGCUCAGCGAGCCUCUUAGAUGAACUCUUGUCAGACACAGGGCUUCUGGAAAAGGCACAGCCCUUCCUGAGUGCCAGCACCCAGGAAGAGGGACUUUUGGCAAGUUCCUCUGGAAGCACCUCUCAGUGAAGACGAACUCCAGGCCCUCCUGGACACGCUGCCAGGCUCAUGAGGGCCUCAGGAAAGCCAUCUGCCGAGCCCCUUUCAGGCUUCCUUUCCUGGGAUGCAGAGGCAAGGCUGAGAAGACAGGAACCAGCAAUGCUCCUUGGGUUCAGCAGUAAGGCCAAGGUGCCCAGACUGUCGGUGGCACUUACAGAAGGAGGAGGCUCAGAGAAAGGGCCUCCAGUCUGACUGAUUACCAGCCCUGCCUUGUGAGGAGGCUGCGAGCCACUGUGAUGGGGCCCAGAGGUCCCGGGGCUAGUGCUGGCCCACUGAUGACCCAGGUUCUGGAGUGGGUGAUUGAGGGGCUAGAGGUACUGGAUUGAGUGUUAGCCUGCUGUCGGGCAGGACCAGCUUUUGACACGGCUGACUGUGGGGCCUGCAGUGUCCUGGAGUUGGUGUUGGCCCAGUGGUGUGUGGGGCUGGUGGCUGAGGGGUCCCAGGUGUCUUGGAGCUGGCAUCAACCUCCUGGAGAGUAGGGCUGGGACCCAGGUGAUCCAGAGCUGAUGCCUGCCCACUAGUGGGUGAGGAUGGAUCCUGGGGCGAGUGUCCUCUCACUGUUGCUUUGCAGACACUGCCGCAGUCAAAAAAGAUGUCUCCAGUGCAGACUUGAAACUAGUUUUAUGGUUUGUGAUGCCUCAUUUUGAGGCUCAGAAGUAUCUGGAAGUUUCUGUAGCUGAUGCUAAUUCAGAUUUUACGGACAGAUCAUGCAGUCCUGUAAAUAAAGAUCACGCUUGAACUGAAGUUAAUUCGAGCAGUAAAAGGUAGAGCAAAAACAUAGGUUUGCGUGCUAGCUUUCUUGUUGAAAAUCGGUGCAUCACUGACACUGAACUGGUGGGUUCCUGACACUGUCUGGAAUCCAUUCUUAUCUGUUUGGUUAGACUGACUACUUUCACAGCUGCAGGUGCCAGCUCUCCCUUCAGUUGUGGCUCAAGCCAGUCCAAAGGAAUCUACUUUCUUCUUUUCUUCAGGGUACAGUGGUUUCAUUAGGGAUUGUUCAUGGAAUGGAUACACGUAGAAGGGAAGAGAAGGAAGCAAGAUUGGGCAGAAAGAGAAGGUAGGCUGUGAUAAAGUCUCAUUCAACCCCAUGGAAAUUCUGAAGGUGGGGUGACUCUUCAGAAGUGGCAAAAUUGGCUCUCAGAAUGUACACAUAUAUAUCUCCCAGUCAGGUUCAAGUCUAAUAGAAAAGUGAGUGUGCCUCUCCCAGUGGUCCUAACAAAAUCCUUACUACACUCAUUUGGGCUCUAACUGGAUUCAUAAACCAAUCUAUGUCCAGAAGAUGUGAUAAUCUCAUUGGUUGAUCCAGAGUCACAUGCUCAUCCUUAGUGCCAGAAGUGACAUCAACUCCACCUGAAGCAUGCAUACUGAAAAUUGGAGAGUCUGUGAUUCCUGUGGUAGAAGAUCUAAGGGUGCCAGGAAUGAAUGGAUGCUGGACCGUAAAAGCCUAAACAAAUGACUGUUCUUUAAUCAAAUAAAAGGUGUUAACAUACAAACGGCUUCUGGUAUGGCAGGUGCAUUCUAAGAAUGAAAGGCACAAUGAUGUGGGAUGCAACGUGCAUUUCAAGGUUUCUGAAACAAAUGAAGAUGUUUUUAAAUGUUCUCUGGGAAAAAAUAAAUAAAUAUGCUAGGUAAAUAGGGGGGAAAAAUCCACUGAAUGAGUCUCAAGCUGGGUUUUAAACCUUAUUCGUAGAGAGGCUUCUGAGCUGUUAGAUUAUUCUGUUUAUUGAUCUCGAUGGUGGUUUUAUAGAUACAUUCACUUUGCAAAAGUUCAAAAAGCUAUAUGUUUAUGACUUAUGCCUCUUUCUGCAUAUAUAUGUUACAUUUUAAGAAAAAGUUUCUUUAAAAAGUAAAAGAAAGAAAAAAGAAAUCUCAUGUAGCAUAAGGCAUAGAUAAUAAGAUCGCAUCAUUCUUUCUUCAUGUCUUUUCUUUCUGUCCAUAAUCUUGGACACGUUACAAUCUCUCUAUUGCUGGGUGUUCAUUGCAUGAAGAACAACUUCAUCAAGGGUGAUUUUUAUGAUAAUUGAGUUCCCCUACAACCCCCCCACCACUGCUAGCACAUAAAAUUUAGUUUUUUAAGGGUGUAUCAUGAAGACUGUUAUUAAAGCAACCGUUUUUAAAAUGUGUAUUUAUA